CCUACGGGUGGCUGCAGUGGGGAAUUUUGCGCAAUGGGCGAAAGCCUGACGCAGCAACGCCGCGUGGGUGAUGAAGGUCUUCGGAUCGUAAAACCCUGUCGUCAGGGACGAAGGUUGCAUGUCGAAUAGAUGUGCAGCUUGACGGUACCUGGAGAGGAAGCCCCGGCUAACUCUGUGCCAGCAGCCGCGGUAAUACAGAGGGGGCAAGCGUUACUCGGAGGUAGCGGGCGUAAAGGGCGCGUAGGGAGGGUAAAUCCCCGAGCUUAACGUGGGAACUGCAUCUCAGACUGUGUCGCUAGAGUACUGGAGAGGGUGGUAGAAUUCCACGUGUAGCGGUGAAAUGCGUAGAGAUGUGGAGGAAUACCAGUGGCGAAGGCGGCCACCUGGACAGUAACUGACGCUGAGGCGCGAAAGUGUGGGGAGCAAACAGGAUUAGAUACCCCAGUAGUC
This 450-nucleotide ribosomal RNA is filed under the name uncultured bacterium. RNAcentral's name for it is "partial 16S ribosomal RNA". It matches the Rfam family "Bacterial small subunit ribosomal RNA", at positions 338 to 795 of the family's 1533-position model. The record is from RNAcentral.